This is a long non-coding RNA of Astyanax mexicanus (Mexican tetra), 2892 nucleotides long. RefSeq lists it as uncharacterized. The transcript has 5 exons. Lineage: Eukaryota; Metazoa; Chordata; Actinopteri; Characiformes; Acestrorhamphidae. The record is from RefSeq and is a predicted model, not a curated record.
GCAUGCGCCAGUUUUAGCGGCCGUCUGCGCAUGCGCCAGUUUUAGCGGCCGUCUGCGCAUGCGCCAAAAUUAGCGGCCGUCUGCGCAUGCGCCAAAAUUAGCGGCCGUCUGCGCAUGCGCCAGUUUUAGCGGCCGUCUGCGCAUGCGCCAAAAUUAGCGGCCGUCUGCGCAUGCGCCAAAAUUAGCGGCCGUCUGCGCAUGCGCCAGUUUUAGCGGCCGUCUGCGCAUGCGCCAGUUUUAGCGGCCGUCUGCGCAUGCGCCAAAAUUAGCGGCCGUCUGCGCAUGCGCCAAAAUUAGCGGCCGUCUGCGCAUGCGCCAGUUUUAGCGGCCGUCUGCGCAUGCGCCAAAAUUAGCGGCCGUCUGCGCAUGCGCCAGUUUUAGCGGCCGUCUGCGCAUGCGCCAAAAUUAGCGGCCGUCUGCGCAUGCGCCAGUUUUAGCGGCCGUCUGCGCAUGCGCCAGUUUUAGCGGCCGUCUGCGCAUGCGCCAGUUUUAGCGGCCGUCUGCGCAUGCGCCAAAAUUAGCGGCCGUCUGCGCAUGCGCCAGUUUUAGCGGCCGUCUGCGCAUGCGCCAAAAUUAGCGGCCGUCUGCGCAUGCGCCAAAAUUAGCGGCCGUCUGCGCAUGCGCCAGUUUUAGCGGCCGUCUGCGCAUGCGCCAAAAUUAGCGGCCGUCUGCGCAUGCGCCAGUUUUAGCGGCCGUCUACGCAUGCGCCAAAAAGUAUAUUAUUUAGCGGCAGAUUUCGGCGCGGUCAGCGCAUGCGUCCAGCUUCAGGCAUGGGAUGCGGCUGUGCACUUGGGCGCGUGCAAUUCCACAGACGCUGCAACUGGAUUUUAUAAAGAUAUAAGAAAAGAAUGCUUUCGUUGUGGAUGUAUUUGACAUGAACAGGGAAGCUGGGGCAGAAGAACGAGGAGCUGUACUCUCUGGGUGAAGGAGGAUUUGGGGCAGUGUUUGCAGGCUAUUGACCUGAGGACCUACUGCAUGGACAACUGAAGAACCUCCCCCUGGAAGUGGCACUCAUGCACAUGGCUGGUGUUGACUCAUUCAUUGCUGGAGGGACCUCAAGCUUCUCCAUAGAGCUGCUGGACUGGUCUAAGCUUCAGGACGAGGUCGUGUCGGUGAUGGAGCCUAUGCUCCAAUGCUCUGCUUGGAGCUCUUCGAUUACAUCCAGGCCAGCGGAUGCCUGCAGGAGGAAUAAGCCAAGGUACUUCUAAAGUAGCUAAUCGAAGACAUGAUUGAGGUCCAAGCCAGAGGGGCUCUGCACUGUGACCUCAAGCCAUAGAACAUCCUGGUUCAGAUGUAGUUAGGAACCACGCCUUCAUCUUCUGUUCUUCUGGACCUUCCUCAAGAGUGGUUUACCCAUGAGGCCAAAUCCUCCAGUGUUGCAGAUAGGAAUCAUCCUGCUGUGUGUGAGAGGUGACCCUUCAACCCCAGCACGGAGAUCACCUCAAAGAAGUCUCAGAUCAUCUCUCCACCAUCUGCUCUACGACCCCUGGCUAAGUAUACACCACGACACAGCCACCACAUCAGGCACACCUCAGUCAGGUACCCUGUAAAACCAUAAUAAUAAUAAUAAUAAAUCUAUAUUUUCAAUCUCUAGUUUAGAGUGUUCUCUAGUAGAGCUGGGCGAUUAAUCGAUUUUAUCGAUUAAUUCGAAUUUACAGUUAAGGACAAUGUGUUUUUAUGAAAAUCGAUUUUUCUCUGAGUUUUCAUUUUCACCACAGACACUCCUCUGUGGGCACAGAGUGAGCUUAGCUAGCUCCCUCCCUCCCUCCCUCCCUAUUUGUUUUUAAGGGUGUGUUUAUUUAUUUAUUUUUUAAGUUUGAGGGUGCAUUGUGUCAGUACCUAAACUAUGUUGGAGAAAGCUUUCUAAAAGUUACUAGAUGUUCUCUUUUUUUUGCUUGUUUCUGGUUGUACUUUAACCACAAAGGGAACAUUUUAAGUGAAAACAAAUUAAAUAAGAACUAGUUUUUAACCAUUUCUUUAUCAUCUUUAGUUUGAUUUUUAGUAGGGGGAAAAAUCGAUUUAAAUCGAAAAUUGGAUUUUUAAAAAAAUAUUCAAAGAUUUAUUUUUUGGGCCAUAUCGCCCAGCUCUAUUCUCUAGUUUAGAGUUUUUUUAUAAAACACACCUAAGGAAAAUAGCAGGUAUUAAUAAAGCUAUUGAUUCCAUAGUUUUUAAAAGGUAAUGAUUUUCUUUAACUAUAUAAAUGUUUUAAUUGUUUUGUGAUUGUAUGCUUUUAAUUGCUUCCUGUUUUGUAUUUGUGUUCAUGUACUUAAGGCUUUAAUCCUUUUAUCGUGAUAUUGUUUAUCUUUUGAUGUUUAUUAAUUACUUAACUGUAUUUAUCUUUAUGUAGUAUACUGUUAGUGUUUUAAUCCAUACACUUUUUGUAUACAUUUCUUUUAUUGCUUAGUUACUUGGUUUAUUAAUGGUUAUUGUAUUGGUGUUUUAGUCUUAUUUUGGGCUCAUAUUCAUUAAAAACAUUUUAACGUUUGUCUUUUAGUGCUUUAAUCAAUUAAUAUUGUACUUACCUUUUACUAUUGUACUAUUAAUCUUUCUGUACUUAAUUCUGAUAUUUAUACUUUUUUUUUCUUGCAGCUUUGUAUUACAUUCUUUAUUAAUUGUAUGUCUUUAUACGGGAAUUUAUAUUUGCAUUGUAUAUAUUUUUGUUUCAUUUAACGUUUAUGCUCUUUGUCUUUUUCAGAUUUUUACAUUUUUCAGUUUGUGUAUUGACCCAAGGAGGAUGGGUUCCUCUCAAGGUUUCUAUCUCUCUUUCUGAGAGAAUUUUCUUUGCCGCUGUCUAUUUUGUGCUUACUCAAAAGAGGUUUGGACACUUUUUUUUUUUUAACUGUUCUUAAUUUUUUUAAUGACUGUACAUUUCUUUGUCAAUAAAUGUUUUUU